GGUGGUAUUGCUCAAUGGUAGAGGUAGAGUACAUGUUUAGCAUGCAUGAGGCCCUGGGUUCAAUCCCCAGUACCUCCA
Molecule: transfer RNA, 78 nt
Filed under: Camelus bactrianus (Bactrian camel)
Lineage: Eukaryota; Metazoa; Chordata; Mammalia; Artiodactyla; Camelidae
Also listed under: 2 other names
Rfam family: tRNA
About the family: Transfer RNA (tRNA) molecules are approximately 80 nucleotides in length. Their secondary structure includes four short double-helical elements and three loops (D, anti-codon, and T loops).
Source: Rfam by way of RNAcentral